This 535-nucleotide ribosomal RNA is filed under the name Alternaria porri. Its description in RNAcentral is "eukaryotic LSU rRNA". The stretch from base 193 to 346 matches the Rfam family "5.8S ribosomal RNA". Lineage: Eukaryota; Fungi; Ascomycota; Dothideomycetes; Pleosporales; Pleosporaceae. The record is from RNAcentral.
UUCCGUAGGGUAACCUGCGGAGGGAUCAUUACACAAUUAAAAUAUGAAGGCUUCGGCUGGAUUAUUUUUAUCACCCUUGUCUUUUGCGCACUUGUUGUUUCCUGGGCGGGUUCGCCCGCCACCAGGACCACACCAUAAACCUUUUUUAUGCAGUUGCAAUCAGCGUCAGUAUAACAAAUGUAAAUCAUUUACAACUUUCAACAACGGAUCUCUUGGUUCUGGCAUCGAUGAAGAACGCAGCGAAAUGCGAUACGUAGUGUGAAUUGCAGAAUUCAGUGAAUCAUCGAAUCUUUGAACGCACAUUGCGCCCUUUGGUAUUCCAAAGGGCAUGCCUGUUCGAGCGGCAUUUGUACCCUCAAGCUUUGCUUGGUGUUGGGCGUCUUUUGUCUUUGGCCUCGCCCAAAGACUCGCCUUAAAACGAUUGGCAGCCGGCCUACUGGUUUCGCAGCGCAGCACAUUUUUGCGCUUCAAUCAGCACAAGGACGGCAAUCCAUCAAGACUACAUUUUUACGUUGACCUCGGGAUCAGGUUGGGA